AGAGUAGCCAUUGUGCGUAAAGUGUCACCGAACGGGACGUUGUCGGUGAACGAAAGGAAGCGGAAAUAUGCUCCGUCUUUCUGCGGUGCAACGGCGCGUCCGCU
This 104-nucleotide non-coding RNA is filed under the name human gut metagenome. RNAcentral's name for it is "THF riboswitch". It matches the Rfam family "THF (Tetrahydrofolate) riboswitch aptamer". From Rfam's summary of the family: THF riboswitch presents a pseudoknot that joins P1-P2 and the loop of P3 and two THF binding. The record is from RNAcentral.